Molecule: ribosomal RNA, 445 nt
Filed under: Aleiodes sp. BCLDQ01021
Lineage: Eukaryota; Metazoa; Arthropoda; Insecta; Hymenoptera; Braconidae
Description: LSU rRNA
Source: RNAcentral
CCUGAGAAACCCAAAAGAUCGAAUGGGGAGAUUCAUCGUCAGCUCAUUUUGUAUAUGUAUAAGUUAUGAUGCGGGUUACUACUUGUAGUAUUGCCUGCACAUUCUUGUAUAUUUAGUUGCAAGAUGUUGUCGGCGUGCACUUCUUCCCUAGUAGGACGUCGCGACCUGUUGGGUGUCGGUCUACGGCCCAAGUGAUAGUCUUUAAUGUAAUUUAAAAAUCAUUGAAGAUCCUUGGUGUUUUCUGACCGGCUACUUGGCAGUAAUCGUACGGUAUUUAGCCGCUAAAUUUAUUAAGCGUCUAUAUCCAUCACAAGCGAGGCUAAUUUACUGAUAUUACGGACCUAGUGCCGUCGUUGGUAUUGGCCAGCUGUUGGUUGUAUGGUAUUCUAAGACUGGCUAAAAUUAAUUACCGGUCGGCGAUGCUACUGCUUUGGGUACUUUCAGG